AUUGAACGCUGGCGGAAUGCUUUACACAUGCAAGUCGAGCGGCAGCGCGGGGCAACCUGGCGGCGAGCGGCGAACGGGUGAGUAACAUAUCGGAACAUACCCAGUCGUGGGGGAUAACACAGCGAAAGUUGUGCUAAUACCACAUACGUCCUGAGGGAGAAAGCGGGGGAUCGCAAGACCUCGCGCGAUUGGAGUGGCCGAUAUCGGAUUAGCUAGUUGGUGAGGUAAAGGCUCACCAAGGCGACGAUCCGUAGCUGGUCUGAGAGGACGACCAGCCACACUGGAACGGAGACACGGUCCAGACUCCUACGGGAGGCAGCAGUGGGGAAUUUUGGACAAUGGGCGCAAGCCUGAUCCAGCCAUUCCGCGUGAGUGAAGAAGGCCUUCGGGUUGUAAAGCUCUUUCGGCAGGACCGAAACGGUCUUUUCUAAUACAAGAGGCUACUGACGGUACCUGAAGAAGAAGCACCGGCUAACUACGUGCCAGCCGCCGCAGUAA
RNAcentral lists this ribosomal RNA (498 nucleotides) under uncultured bacterium. RNAcentral's name for it is "partial 16S ribosomal RNA". It matches the Rfam family "Bacterial small subunit ribosomal RNA", at positions 29 to 523 of the family's 1533-position model. The record is from RNAcentral.